UCCUGGCGACCAUAGCGGUUUGGAACCACCUGACUCCAUCUCGAACUCAGUAGUGAAACAGACCAGCGCCGAUGAUAGUGUGAGGCUUCCUC
RNAcentral lists this ribosomal RNA (92 nucleotides) under Legionella brunensis. The record is from RNAcentral. Lineage: Bacteria; Pseudomonadati; Pseudomonadota; Gammaproteobacteria; Legionellales; Legionellaceae.